RNAcentral lists this long non-coding RNA (458 nucleotides) under Nicotiana benthamiana. RNAcentral's name for it is "long non-coding RNA (NBEN_LNC030487)". Lineage: Eukaryota; Viridiplantae; Streptophyta; Magnoliopsida; Solanales; Solanaceae. The record is from RNAcentral.
CAUAAUGCAGAAUUAGUACAAGGUGAGGUUGAUCAAGAGGGGAAUGCUUUUUGCAAAUCACAACGUACUCAAGCUAGUCAACACAUAAGGGAAGCCGGACAAAUUAAUGGUAAGGAAAAGUGGACAUCGAUUUCCAAUAAAAACAGAAAUCCAAUAAGCAAAACACAACAGCAGAUUGAACAAAAAAGUACAGAUGUACCAAAAAAUCAAAACUCUUUUGCUGCACUUGGCAAUGCCAAUGAAGAUGAUGGAAAGGUCACUAGAAGUACAGAUGUACCAAAAAAUCAAAACUCUUUUGAUGCACUUGUCAAUGCCAAUGAAGAUGAUGAAAAGGUCAGUACAGUUAACUUGCAGAUGACUGACAGUAACCAUCACAAUAACUCAUCAGAGACAGCUGCUUUGAAUAAAUAUCCAGUGCCAAGGGAUCAAACUGUUAUCAAAGAUACACAGGUUAAAAU